This 2757-nucleotide ribosomal RNA is filed under the name Triticum aestivum (bread wheat). Its description in RNAcentral is "partial small subunit ribosomal RNA". The record is from RNAcentral. Lineage: Eukaryota; Viridiplantae; Streptophyta; Magnoliopsida; Poales; Poaceae.
CCGGAGCAGGGGUUAGCCGCCCUGCUGAUCCAAAGACAGCGGCGCAGAGGGAAGAGAGAGAGCGAGCGUAGAGAGGUAGCGAGGAGGAAGAGAAGCGCGUCGGCGGCGAGGAGAGGCGGAGGGAGGAGGAGGUGUCCUAACGCCGGAAGGGAGGGAACACGAUAGGAGAGUGCCGGUACUUGCCGCCGCUCGAGCGGCAACGGAAGUAGCCCUCCUCUCGCCUGGCUGCCUGGACCUCGUAGGGGUAGCUGCCCUCCUCGCCCUCCUCGCGCCCUUGGCGGCCGCGGGGAAGCCGUUGGUCCAGAAGAGGGAGCGGUCGGCGGCACGGGGGCAGUUCGACAGUGUAGCAGCCCUCCUCUACUUAGUGACGAGAGGGACCUCCUCUCCCAGCUGCCCUCGAUCGCUCUGCCUAGACGUCGCGAGCGGAGUGGAGUCCCACCACGGCCCACGCACCGACAACAAGGAAGCCUUAACCGGCCGGAUGGAGCACCCACAGUUAGGUCCAGCUACACGAACCGGUCUUCUUCCGUACCUGCGGUAGCUGGAGCGGGCGGAGACGUGUAACGUCCGUCUUUUCUGUAUGACUAAACUUCUGGUGGAGUUAACAAACCCUAGACCUAACAGACAUGUAUAAAACAACCACCAACCGUCUAGACCAGGUAGUAUUAGAAACAGGACGAUGGUACGUCAAGAUACAUGGUACGUUAAAAAGGGGAGGUAGGACCAGAGUUCUAUGACGGCUCCCUCGCCGACUACCUCCGCGAGACGUUUACCACAUGCUCAGUUCCUCUAGGUGGCGUUCGCCGAGUACUACCCGCGUGACCCCUAAUCUAGAGGCAACCUUUCUACGUAGGUCCGGACCGGUGGAGAGGUCGUGCUGUACGGUCGGUCAAGAGAGAAUGGGGAGGAAGGUGUGGUAUAGCAGCAGAGUGGGUGGUCUCAUUACCUUACAAUUAACCGACCACCACCGUACAAGUUCAUACCCUUUACUACUCGAGGAUGAAGAAAAAUACGGUCGGGAUACGGCAUCCAGUCGACGCUGGAAAAAGGGGUGUUCAACCACUAUUAGUCAAUAGGAGAUCUCCCUUAACACUAACACUAAUCAUAGAAAUUUGUAAUCGGUAUAAGUAGUCAUGAGUGGCAAAGAAAGUAAAGAAGAGUAAAAAUUUACAUAACCGGAGACCAUAUAUGUCGACUUUAGCUACACGGUUUGUUGUUCUUUAUAGAUCGAGGGAAGCACAUGCGAAGAGACGGUGUUGUACCCACGUUUUAAUCUUCUUGUUGAUUAGACAGAAAUACCACGUACGAAUUAACUUAAUUACACAGGAACAACCACGUAUAUAGAUCGAGGCUAACCAAGAACCAAAGAGACUGAUAAUCUUUAAUCGGCUUAAUUACACUAGAAUAAAUUUUAAAACCGCCUCAUUUGUAAGUCUCUGGAUUAAUUCUAACUAAUUUGAAUAUAAUAUACAAACAAUCAAGGAAAUAUGAGGUUUUCUUUUUUUUUGUACUGAUUGUUUUGAGACAGUUACUAGUUAUUACGUCACAUAUUAUUAAAUAUUCUUGUUCAUGCUAGAGUUCACUUGGAAAACAACCUUUGCAGACAAAGAUUAACUUGAUAUCGGAUAUUUUUAUUAAUAUCGUUCCAACACAAAUGUAAACAUGGUCGUUCAUUUAGGUGAUAGUUGACGUAACACGUUAUUACCAUUUAUCGAACAACUAAGUCUGUCAACACUUUGAGUUGACUGUUUACAUCCUACUUACCUCGUUUGUAGUUACUGGCGUAUGUCUAAUUACUGCUACUCCACAAUCAAGCGUGGGGAUAAACAAUACUAGCGAAUACCUAGCCUUAAACAACCUAAUCAUAUAUCGUGUGCAACGGCAAGGAACGAAUUAUCUGUACGUGACGAGACAAACAGUACCGGCGAGACGUGAUUUACAUACUACAAAGUGAAGUCGGACUCAGAAGACAAGUUAUUAACAACAAAGAGGGACUUUGUUUUGACCGUGAAACAUGCUAACUAAUGAGUCUCUCGGUGUUAGUGUGUUCCUUUAGAUUUGUCGGUCGACCCAUAACUGUUCUUCAUGGUUAAAUUCUCCUGGCACUCUCUCGAACCUCCCUUCUUGUGUGAACUACUGGUUUAUUUGUGAACUACUGGUAUAAACCACGGAAAACGACGUUUAUCACCUUCAGAAAAUCGCUCGUAUAUAAGUACAGUUUGACUAUACGGUGACUGAGAAACUAACGGACUAGGACAAGAAGGAAACGACAUUCCGAGCCGUAUUUCUUGUGUAAGCUCCUGGUAAGUGCUGUGGAAGACCUCGUUUAUCACCAUCAGAUAACCAUUUAUAUAUAAGUACACUUUGACUUUAACUCUUGGAAUCUACUUGUAAUAAAGGACAAUCACCUAACUAUCAACAUGACUUAGAACGGGAUACAUGUACGGGUAGGACUUUGUAUAUAUAUAAUCCAUAAUAACCUACUCGUAUUCACAUGUAUAAGAUAUGUUCAUAAUGGUCUGACCUAUGUUAACCUAGUCCACCCAACGCCAUUCGACGUGAAUGAUAGGAAAGAUGAUUACGUAGUAUCGUAGACUAGAAAUGGGCGAGCCGGAACAGUAACCCUGGCCGUGGGAACGUGGUUCCGCGCGAGCCGGAACAGUAACCCUGGCCGUGGAACGUGGUUCCGCGCUGGGGCUAGAUCAAAGGAUCUAACAUCCUAGGUAUUGCCGUGCGGGACCGAACGCACGGCUGAGA